This 119-nucleotide ribosomal RNA is filed under the name Beta vulgaris subsp. vulgaris (sugar beet). The record is from RNAcentral. Lineage: Eukaryota; Viridiplantae; Streptophyta; Magnoliopsida; Caryophyllales; Amaranthaceae.
GGGUGCGAUCAUACCAGCACUAAUGCACCAGAUCCCAUAUGAACACCUUAGUUAAGCGUGCUUUGGCGAGAGUACUACUAGGAUGGGUGACCUCCUAGGUAGUCCUCGUGUUCCACCCU